This 314-nucleotide unclassified non-coding RNA is filed under the name Tomentella punicea. RNAcentral describes it as "sequence contains 5.8S rRNA gene". The record is from RNAcentral. Lineage: Eukaryota; Fungi; Basidiomycota; Agaricomycetes; Thelephorales; Thelephoraceae.
GAACGCACCUUGCGCCCCUUGGAUAUUCCGAAGGGCAUGCCUGUUUGAGUAUCAUGAACACCUCAACUCUCAUGGUUUGCCAUGAUGAGCUUGGACUUUGGGGGUUCUGCUGGCCCAUGGUCGGCUCCCCUUAAAUGGAUCAGCUUGCCAGUGUUUUGGUGGGAUCCCAGGUGUGAUAACUAUCUACGCUUGUGGCUUUCCGUCAAGCAACCUUCAGCAAUGAGGGUUCGCUGGGGCUCAUAAACGUCUCUCUUGUGGAGACAGGUUUUUGAAGUUUGAUCUCAAAUCAGGUAGGACUACCCGCUGAACUUAAG